RNAcentral lists this ribosomal RNA (447 nucleotides) under uncultured Parabacteroides sp. RNAcentral describes it as "partial 16S ribosomal RNA". It matches the Rfam family "Bacterial small subunit ribosomal RNA", at positions 341 to 785 of the family's 1533-position model. Lineage: Bacteria; Pseudomonadati; Bacteroidota; Bacteroidia; Bacteroidales; Tannerellaceae. The record is from RNAcentral.
ACGGAAGGCAGCAGUGAGGAAUAUUGGUCAAUGGAGGCAACUCUGAACCAGCCAUCUCGCGUGAAGGAAUACGGCCCUACGGGUCUUAAACUUCUUUUAUAGGGGGAUAAAGUGAGAUACGCGUAUCUUUUUGUAGGUACCCUAUGAAUAAGCAUCGGCUAACUCCGUGCCAGCAGCCGCGGUAAUACGGAGGAUGCGAGCGUUAUCCGGAUUUAUUGGGUUUAAAGGGUGCGCAGGCGGCACGUUAAGUCAGCGGUGAAAUGCAGGGGCUCAACCCCGGCACUGCCGUUGAAACUGGCGAGCUCGAGUACGGAUGAAGUCGGCGGAAUGUGAUGUGUAGCGGUGAAAUGCUUAGAUAUGUCACAGAACACCGAUUGCGAAGGCAGCUGACUAAUCCGCAACUGACGCUCAGGCACGAAAGCGUGGGGAUCGAACAGGAUUAGAUAC